UAAUACGUAGGGGGCAAGCGUUGUUCGGAUUUACUGGGCGUAAAGGGCGCGUAGGCGGCGUGACAAGUCACUUGUGAAAUCUCCGGGCUUAACUCGGAACGGCCAAGUGAUACUGUCGUGCUAGAGUGCAGAAGGGGCAAUCGGAAUUCUUGGUGUAGCGGUGAAAUGCGUAGAUAUCA
RNAcentral lists this ribosomal RNA (179 nucleotides) under uncultured bacterium. RNAcentral's name for it is "partial 16S ribosomal RNA". It matches the Rfam family "Bacterial small subunit ribosomal RNA", at positions 521 to 699 of the family's 1533-position model. The record is from RNAcentral.